This 29-nucleotide non-coding RNA is filed under the name Callithrix jacchus (white-tufted-ear marmoset). The record is from RNAcentral. RNAcentral also lists the same sequence under 2 other names. Lineage: Eukaryota; Metazoa; Chordata; Mammalia; Primates; Cebidae.
UUCUCACUACUGCACUUGACUAGUCUUAA